CACAUCAGAUUGAAACACCUGCUCCCUUACGAUAACUGAAGUUAAGCAAAGCCGAGCUUCGUCAGUACCUAGAUGGGUGACUGCGUAGGAAUACCAAAUGUUGUAA
Non-coding RNA from Acanthosepion pharaonis, 106 nucleotides. NCBI's taxonomy places the organism in Eukaryota, Metazoa, Mollusca, Cephalopoda, Sepiida, Sepiidae. The record is from the annotation of a GenBank genome assembly.